Molecule: ribosomal RNA, 793 nt
Filed under: uncultured Methanotrichaceae archaeon
Lineage: Archaea; Methanobacteriati; Methanobacteriota; Methanomicrobia; Methanotrichales; Methanotrichaceae
Description: bacterial SSU rRNA
Rfam family: Archaeal small subunit ribosomal RNA
Source: RNAcentral
ACGGCUCAGUAACACGUGGAUAACCUACCCUUAGGACAGGGAUAAACCCGGGAAACUGGGUAUAAUACCCGAUAGAUCUCGAAUGCUGGAAUGCAUCGAGAUCGAAAGCUCCGGCGCCUAAGGAUGGAUCUGCGGCCUGUCAGGUAGUAGUGGGUGUAGCGUACCUACUAGCCUACGACGGGUACGGGUUGUGAGAGCAAGAGCCCGGAGAUGGAUUCUGAGACACGAAUCCAGGCCCUACGGGGUGCAGCAGGCGCGAAAACUUUACAAUGCCGGCAACGGCGAUAAGGGGACCUCGAGUGCCAGGUUACAAAUCUGGCUGUCGAGAUGCCUAAAAAGCAUUUCAUAGCAAGGGCCGGGCAAGACCGGUGCCAGCCGCCGCGGUAACACCGGCGGCUCGAGUGGUAACCGUUAUUAUUGGGUCUAAAGGGUCUGUAGCCGGCCGGAUAAGUCUCUUGGGAAAUCUGGCAGCUUAACUGUCAGGCUUUCAGGAGAUACUGUCUGGCUCGAGGCCGGGAGAGGUGAGAGGUACUUCAGGGGUAGGGGUGAAAUCUUGUAAUCCUUGAAGGACCACCAGUGGCGAAGGCGUCUCACCAGAACGGACCUGACGGCAAGGGACGAAAGCUAGGGGCACGAACCGGAUUAGAUACCCGGGUAGUCCUAGCCGUAAACGAUACUCGCUAGGUGUCGGCCGCGGUGCGACCGUUGUCGGUGCCGUAGGGAAGCCGUGAAGCGAGCCACCUGGGAAGUACGGCCGCAAGGCUGAAACUUAAAGGAAUUGGCGGGGGAGCAC